AACGAACGUUAGCGGCGCGCCUAACACAUGCAAGUCGAGCGAGAAAGGGAGCAAUCCCCGGUAAAGCGGCGCACGGGUGAGUAACACGUAGGUAAUCUGCCUCUGAGUGGGGGAUAACCUUCCGAAAGGAGGGCUAAUACCGCAUGAGACCACGCCUUCGAGAGGAGGAGGGGUCAAAGCCGGCCACUAUACAUAAGCUGGCGCUUGGAGAUGAGCCUGCGGCCCAUCAGCUAGUUGGUAGGGUAAUGGCCUACCAAGGCGUAGACGGGUAGCUGGUCUGAGAGGAUGAUCAGCCACACUGGAACUGAGACACGGUCCAGACUCCUACGGGAGGCAGCAGUGGGGAAUCUUGCGCAAUGGGCGAAAGCCUGACGCAGCGACGCCGCGUGAGUGAUGAAGGCCUUCGGGUUGUAAAGCUCUGUGGAGGGGGAAGAAUAAGGGUGACCCAACACGUCGCCCGAUGACGGUACCCCUUUAGCAAGCACCGGCUAACUCUGUG
Molecule: ribosomal RNA, 499 nt
Filed under: uncultured bacterium
Lineage: Bacteria
Description: bacterial SSU rRNA
Rfam family: Bacterial small subunit ribosomal RNA
Source: RNAcentral